UGUUUGAUCCUGGCUGAGGUCAUUGCUAUUGGGGUCCGAUUUAGCCAUGCUAGUUGCGCGACUUAGAUCGCAGCGGAAAGCUCAGUAACACGUGGCCAAACUACCCUGCAGAGGAGCAUAAUCUCGGGAAACUGAGGCUAAUACUCCAUACCGCACUCACGUUGGAAUACCGAGUGCUACAAACGCUCCGGCGCUGCAGGAUGUGGCUGCGGCCGAUUAGGUAGACGGUGGGGUAACGGCCCACCGUGCCGAUAAUCGGUACGGGUUGUGAGAGCAAGAGCCCGGAGACGGAAUCUGAGACAAGAUUCCGGGCCCUACGGGGCGCAGCAGGCGCGAAACCUUUACACUGCACGCCAGUGCGAUAAGGGGACCCCAAGUGCGAGGGCAUACAGUCCUCGCUUUUGUGUACCGUAAGGUGGUACACGAAUAAGAGCUGGGCAAGACCGGUGCCAGCCGCCGCGGUAAUACCGGCAGCUCAAGUGAUGACCGAUUUUAUUGGGCCUAAAGCGUCCGUAGCUGGCCGCGUAGGUUCGUCGGGAAAUCCAUCCGCUCAACGGAUGGGCGUCCGGCGAAAACCACGUGGCUUGGGACCGGAAGGCUCGAGGGGUACGUCCGGGGUAGGAGUGAAGUCCCGUAAUCCUGGACGGACCGCCGAUGGCGAAAGCACCUCGAGAAGACGGAUCCGACAGUGAGGGACGAAAGCUGGGGUCUCGAACCGGAUUAGAUACCCGGGUAGUCCCAGCCGUAAACAAUGCCAAUUAGGUGUGGCACCGACUACGAGUCGGUGCUGUGCCGUAGGGAAGCCGAUAAAUUGGCCGCCUGGGAAGUACGUCCGCAAGGAUGAAACUUAAAGGAAUUGGCGGGGGAGCACUACAACCGGAGGAGCCUGCGAUUUAAUUGGACUCAACGCCGGACAUCUCACCAGCAUCGACUGUAGCAAUGAUCAUCAGGUUGAUGACCUCUAUGUUGAGCUACAGAGAGGAGGUGCAUGGCCGCCGUCAGCUCGUACCGUGAGGCGUCCUGUUAAGUCAGGCAACGAGCGAGACCCA
This 1049-nucleotide ribosomal RNA is filed under the name uncultured archaeon. Its description in RNAcentral is "bacterial SSU rRNA". It matches the Rfam family "Archaeal small subunit ribosomal RNA", at positions 5 to 1054 of the family's 1478-position model. The record is from RNAcentral.